UAUGUCGUCUGAUUGAACAUGGCGGCGUGGCAAAUUCACGAAUUUUUAGGAUUUUGUGUUCCAGUUGCCUUAUGAAAUUGACGAGACGAUAUGGAAGUACAAAGCACUGCAGAAGAUGAAGUGAAGUCGUGGCUUGCUGAGCUUUAUCCUGAUAAAAUUUCGCUGCCGAAGAAAGAUGAGAAAAUAGAAAAUUGUACUGCCGAACCGGCGAAAACAACAAGAACGCUUGUGUCAGCUUCAGGACUCAUAGACGAUGCCAUAAAGAAGCGUAUGAAAAGAAAAUGGACUUCCAUCACAAACAUCGAGAAAAAGCAACGUCCACACGACACAUCAGAUGAGCAAGAUAGCAAGUUGUGCAGCAUCAAGUCAACACAGGGUACAAAGCCCCUUGUUGCGAUGGUAGCGAAGCCACUUUCAAAAGCAGUUCGUCGAAGAUUGAAGAAGAAACGUUUGAAGGAGGCUGCUGCGAAAAAAAUGUCAAAUUAGAAGUGAAGUGCCAUAUCCUAUCAUCUGCUAACACAUAAACUAUCAGUGGUCACGUGAAGAAUGCGGAUGUGAAAGUGUUUGACACAGAACAAUGACGGCUACACGUACAAGGAAAGUCUGAGUAGAUAAAUUGUGGCCUGAAGGAAAAAUGUCAGAUGCCAGUUGAUGGGGAACACUCCAAACUAUUCUUGAUGAGACACUUUGAGGAAAGUCAUGCCUUGUCAAAAGCGAACAAAUAGCUGUACAGAGGAGACAAAGACUGGGAAAUUACAUUCCACAAGUGAAAGGGUGAUUUUGUACAGUAGCAUAAUAUGGAAACAAAAAUUAUUUGUCUCAAUGGAGGUGAGAUGCAACUACACAGCCAAACAAUGAUGUAUACGCGCAGGAUAUGUUUACGAAUGUUCUUGAGUGUGCCAAGGUGAUACUCUCUGAUGGAAAUUAGACAAAAUUCAUAUGGUGAUGAGAAUAGUGCAAACAUUUGUGGUUAUAUAAAGGUGCCUUGCAGUGAGCGUUAUGAGACAUACUGUCGUGACCAUAAAAUUCGUUACUAUUUUUGUACACAUCUCAUCAAGGAAUUCGUAGAACAUGUUCAGCUCAAACAUAUAUUUGUACAGAGUUCUUUUAUUGAUGGUCAUCAGCAAUAUGUGCAAGCCAAGACAUUAAAAGAACAUGUUCAUUCUCA
Long non-coding RNA from Ornithodoros turicata, 1168 nucleotides. RefSeq lists it as uncharacterized. NCBI's taxonomy places the organism in Eukaryota, Metazoa, Arthropoda, Arachnida, Ixodida, Argasidae. The record is from RefSeq and is a predicted model, not a curated record. The transcript is spliced from 3 exons.